RNAcentral lists this ribosomal RNA (445 nucleotides) under uncultured bacterium. RNAcentral describes it as "SSU rRNA". It matches the Rfam family "Bacterial small subunit ribosomal RNA", at positions 26 to 518 of the family's 1533-position model. The record is from RNAcentral.
AGGACGAACGCUGGCGGCGUGCCUAACACAUGCAAGUCGAACGCGUGUAGCGAUACACGAGUGGCGGACGGGUGAGUAACGCGUGGGAACCUGCCCUGGAGUGUGGGAUAACCGAGGGAAACUUCGGCUAAUACCGCAUACGACCUGAGGGUGAAAGAUUUAUCGCUCUAGGAGGGGCCCGCGUCGGAUUAGCUAGUUGGUGGGGUAAAGGCCUACCAAGGCAGUGAUCCGUAGCUGGUCUGAGAGGAUGAUCAGCCACACUGGGACUGAGACACGGCCCAGACUCCUACGGGAGGCAGCAGUGGGGAAUAUUGGACAAUGGGGGCAACCCUGAUCCAGCAAUGCCGCGUGAGUGAUGAAGGCCUUAGGGUUGUAAAGCUCUUUCGCGCGCGACGAUGAUGACGGUAGCGCGAGAAGAGCCCGGCUAACUCGUGCCAGCAGCCGC